Molecule: ribosomal RNA, 497 nt
Filed under: uncultured bacterium
Lineage: Bacteria
Description: partial 16S ribosomal RNA
Rfam family: Bacterial small subunit ribosomal RNA
Source: RNAcentral
GAUGAACGCUGGCGGCGUGCCUAAUACAUGCAAGUCGAGCGAACAGACGAGGAGCUUGCUCCUCUGACGUUAGCGGCGGACGGGUGAGUAACACGUGGAUAACCUACCUAUAAGACUGGGAUAACUUCGGGAGACCGGAGCUAAUACCGGAUAAUAUAUUGAACCGCAUGGUUCAAUAGUGAAAGACGGUUUUGCUGUCACUUAUAGAUGGAUCCGCGCCGCAUUAGCUAGUUGGUAAGGUAACGGCUUACCAAGGCAACGAUGCGUAGCCGACCUGAGAGGGUGAUCGGCCACACCGGAACUGAGACACGGUCCAGACUCCUACGGGAGGCAGCAGUAGGGAAUCUUCCGCAAUGGGCGAAAGCCUGACGGAGCAACGCCGCGUGAGUGAUGAAGGUCUUCGGAUCGUAAAACUCUGUUAUUAGGGAAGAACAAAUGUGUAAGUAACUAUGCACGUCUUGACGGUACCUAAUCAGAAAGCCACGGCUAACUACGUG